Non-coding RNA from Phrynosoma platyrhinos (Desert horned lizard), 72 nucleotides. NCBI's taxonomy places the organism in Eukaryota, Metazoa, Chordata, Lepidosauria, Squamata, Phrynosomatidae. The record is from the annotation of a GenBank genome assembly.
GUCGGUGUGGCAUAAUGGUUUGAGCGUUGGACUUCAAUUCUGGAGAUCAGGGUUCAAUUCCACGCUCAGCCA